GAUGAACGCUGGCGGCGUGCCUAAUACAUGCAAGUCGAGCGAACGGACGAGAAGCUUGCUUCUCUGAUGUUAGCGGCGGACGGGUGAGUAACACGUGGAUAACCUACCUAUAAGACUGGGAUAACUUCGGGAAACCGUAGCUAAUACCGGCUAAUAUUUUGAACCGCAUGGUUCAAAAGUGAAAGACGGUCUUGCUGUCACUUAUAGAUGGAUCCGCGCUGCAUUAGCUAGUUGGUAAGGUAACGGCUUACCAAGGCAACGAUGCAUAGCCGACCUGAGAGGGUGAUCGGCCACACUGGAACUGAGACACGGUCCAGACUCCUACGGGAGGCAGCGGUAGGGAAUCUUCCGCAAUGGGCGAAAGCCUGACGGAGCAACGCCGCGUGAGUGAUGAAGGUCUUCGGAUCGUAAAACUCUGUUAUUAGGGAAGAACAUAUGUGUAAGUAACUGUGCACAUCUUGACGGUACCUAAUCAGAAAGCCACGGCUAACUACGUG
RNAcentral lists this ribosomal RNA (497 nucleotides) under uncultured bacterium. RNAcentral describes it as "partial 16S ribosomal RNA". It matches the Rfam family "Bacterial small subunit ribosomal RNA", at positions 28 to 507 of the family's 1533-position model. The record is from RNAcentral.